This 305-nucleotide ribosomal RNA is filed under the name uncultured bacterium. RNAcentral describes it as "bacterial SSU rRNA". It matches the Rfam family "Bacterial small subunit ribosomal RNA", at positions 338 to 640 of the family's 1533-position model. The record is from RNAcentral.
CCUACGGGACGCAGCAGUGAGGAAUAUUGGUCAAUGGGCGGAAGCCUGAACCAGCCAAGUCGCGUGAGGGAUUAAGGCCCUAUGGGUCGUAAACCUCUUUUGUCAGGGAGCAAUGGCGUCCACGUGUGGGCGUAUGGAGAGUACCUGAAGAAAAAGCAUCGGCUAACUCCGUGCCAGCAGCCGCGGUAAUACGGAGGAUGCGAGCGUUAUCCGGAUUUAUUGGGUUUAAAGGGUGCGUAGGCGGGACCUUAAGUCAGCGGUAAAAUUGCGGUGCUCAACGCCGUAGAGCCGUUGAAACUGGGGUU